This is a long non-coding RNA of Dendrobium catenatum, 5729 nucleotides long. RefSeq lists it as uncharacterized. The record is from RefSeq and is a predicted model, not a curated record. The transcript is spliced from 7 exons. Lineage: Eukaryota; Viridiplantae; Streptophyta; Magnoliopsida; Asparagales; Orchidaceae.
AAAUCUCUUAAAAUCAAUCCUAAAAUACUAAUAUUUAAACUUAAACUAAAAUCCAUCUUUUGUCCUUUAACAAAUCAAAUGAAAGCAAAUAUAAUUAAACUAUCCUACAUAAGACCUAUCCAAGACUACACACCAUUACACACACCUAGAUUUGUUUGGUUAGGACAAGACUUCGAGCUCUAGGUUAAGCCGAUAUUUUUUUUUGUUAUUCAACGUUUACUACAUGUACAUGUCCUAUAAAUGCAAUUCUUAAAUUUCUGUUAGUUACAUUUUUUUUAUUUAUCUGCAUUUCUUUUCUGAACGGCAUCUACGCUUAUACCAUAUAUUCCUCUUUUAUCUUAUCUUGCGAGGUACAUCGGGUCUUGCACGGUCAAACAUCAAGUGACAUCAUUUGCUUAAAAGCUUUUAGGUGGCAGUGCCACAGGUCUUGCACAGUUGAGGAUCAGUGGACAAUUUGCUUGCUUGGAAUUAUUAAGUGGCAGCGCCACAGUCAGUAUAUUUUUUAUCCAACUUCAAACAAUGCAUCGAAGAACAUUCGUACUUCUCGGAGCUCAAAAGGUGUUGAAAGUGAUGUAGAUCUAAGUGGUUUAAGUGAUGCUUCUUGAUUAGUACCAAGAGAGAUUGGCUCACCAUCAGCUGAUUGUGGUACACAAUGUUCAUCUGUUGAUGAUACUACAGAAAAUCUCGGUUCUACAGUUUCAAGUUCCUUUAUGUCAUCUUUAGAUGCAUGUGAUAGCAGCACUUCAACAUCAAGUUGUAAUUCUUCUUUCUAUCAUUUGAGAAAAAGAUGCCACUUCAUUUGUUGCACAAACUUUACAUAGAAGUUGCAACAAGUCGUGCAUCCGUGUUACUCUCAUCUCCCGUUGUUUACUCAACUAGUACAUUCCAGUUUCUGCAGAACUAUGAAGAUCUAAAUGUUUUCAUAUUGGCUGGUGAAGCAUUCUGUGGAUUACAGGCAACUGAGUUCAGGAACAGAUUAAAAAGUAUUUCUGAAAACUAUGUUGCAGCAUUUCACAGAAAAAUGUUUAUGUACUUAAAAUGGUAUUGGAGAGGGAGAAUUGGAUGAAGUUAUCUCCAGAGACUAUGCAACUAAUUAGUUUGGCUGGCCUCAUUGGUGAUGGCGCUCCCUUGAUUGUUCCUUCUUCAAGCAAUUCUUUAGCUGCCUGUACAAUUUAGUCCAAGAAAAGUUCUGAUGUGGUUUACAAUGGGAAGCAGAAUGAUGGGUUUUGUUAUUGGCUUAGUAUUGAAAACCCGUUUUCUUCAAAACUAUCAAAUGGUUCCAAACAACUAUCAAGUUUUCAGGCAUUAGUUAAUGGGUCUUCGGUAUCUCAGUGGAUACCAAAAUUGUUGUUUCAUUAUACCUUGAUGAUUGUAGAAUAUCAAAGCUUACUCACCCAAAAACCAGAUCUGCAUGUUGGAACGAUGAUGAGGUUUCAGCACAAACAGGUUCAUCCAUUUGUUUAUUGAGAUUAAUGGACAAAUAUGCGAGCCUAAUGCAGAAUUAGAAAUUGUUAAUGUUGACUUUUUCAAGGGCAUCUGCCAGCUCUUUGGAAUAUUCUAUUAUUUUAUUUUUGAGGUACUUGGCGAGCGGGACUCUUAUCAAAGUGGAAAGAUGUGUUGCAGCUGAGAUGAUAUCCUUUGUUGCUCAGAUCUUGCAUAGAUCAAAAGCUUACUUUCAGUCAAGGUUGUUUCAGCAGAACGCUGCAUUGAUUGAGGAUUUUUUUGGGAAUCUGGUGCAGAGCCUCCCGCGUGAAGCUUCUUUCAGACGCUUGUAUAGUUUUUCAUAGUUUUUGGUUCAUGCAAUAUUUUGUAGCCCAAGUGGCUAUUGUACAUGUUCUUUUGGACGCUCCUUUUGUAUUGUAAAUAUGAAAUGUCUUAAUGUGAAUUAUAGUAUUUUGAUGUAUCUAUUUUCUUUAAUGCAAUUAUCAUUCUGGAUGUUUGUAUGAUAUGAGCGAGAAAUGUAGAAAGAAAAAAAGAUCGAAUAAGAAGAAGAAUGUCAGAUGAAUCCUUUCAUUAUAGAUGUCUGGGACGUCACAAUUGGUAUCAGAAUGAGUGUAGUGAAAGGAUUUGCUUAUAUCCAGAAUUAUAGUGAUGAUUACAUUAUUUGAUUUGUUUUGCUUUACGUGUUUGAUUUUUGUUAUUAUACCUACGAAUUUUAUUUGAAUGAAUUUGUAUUGAUCAGGCCAAUGGAUCAGAAAGGAAAGAAAGUUGAAUCAGCUACUGACUUUUCCAUGACAUCUGGAAAUAUGAAAAAGUUUGCUGACAUGGUCGCUUAAAUGGUGAGCGAUAAAUUAGCAAAAUAUUCUGGACGUAGUGUUAAGAAAAGUGGUGAAAAGAAAAGUGGUGAAAGUAGCAGAACAAAGACUAUUAAUGUUUGUGUAUGUUGUGGGAAGAGACAUGUGGGACAGUGUUAACGGAGAACAGGACUGCUUUCAAUAUGGUGCCUAUGGACAUAAAAUGGUAUAAUGUCCAGGACUUAGACAAGGACCUGUUUAGAUUGAAAACAUACAGUUGAAAAAUGUGAAAGAUGUUCCUCCAAUGCUUGAAAAUAUGACUAGUAUGAGUUUAUUUUCUAUAACUUAUUGUAUUCGACGAUAUUUUUCAUUGAUUUCGAUAUGAUUUGUACGAUUUUUUUGAUUUGAUUCGUGUUUUGUUUGAACUAAUUUGUUUGUCGAUUUUGCAUUUGAGCUCUUAAUGAAAAUGUCGAGGACGACAUUGUUCAGAAGGUGGGAGGUUGUUAAAGCCCAUUUUUCCUUCCAGGAUCGUCCGGUACGAAGUGGGAUUGUCCGGGACGAUCAGUACAGAAUCUGUGGAUAGAGAGGUUCGUCCAAGGACAAAAUUUGGUUUGUCGGGAUAAAAUUUAUCCAGAGGGCAAGCCGUCCAGAGACGAAAACUGUUCACAUCUAAACGAAUUUUGUAUAUAGGGCAAAUCGUCCCGGGAUGAUUUGGGAUCGUCCGAGACGAUCUGCAUGGAUAUAUAUUGGAUUGAGAUAUUUUGGAAUCUUUUGGAAGAGAGAAAAAGUAGGAGAGAGAAAGAGGAGGAAAAGAGAAGGAAAAAGGCUUGAUUUUGAAGGCCACGGAGCGCUUUUUGUCCGUGCCGCAGUUAGAAGAAUUUUUUAUCUAGCAGUAAGGACUUCGAAUCCUAUUUCUGAUUUCGAAGAUUUCGAGUUUUGGUGUUUUUAUGCUUAGUUUUGUGUUUUCAUUACAAAAAAAAUGAGCCUAUCUUUGUAUUGACGAAAUUUUUACUACGUAACUUUUGGUAUGUUAGAGAAAUGAUGAUUUUGCACGAUUUGAGUAUUUUCUGAAAAGUUUUUACUGGAUAUUUUGAGUUAUGUUAGAUUUUGAAACGUUAUUUUACACGAUUUCUUAUAAUUGUGCAUUUUGACUUUGUUUGGAAUUUCUGUCGACUGUACAAUAUUUUAAGGAUUCUUUUCUUUUGAGUUAAAUCAUGUUUAUUGAUUGCAAUACAUUAAUGAGAUGUAUAUGAAUGUGGAUAUAUUGAAUAUACUACUAUUACUGAAAGACAAGUAAAGAUUGGUUGAACUGUUGGUUGAAAAUUGAUAGACCUGACAGGAUGGUGGGCUGACGGGCUUUCCUUUAAAAAGGGUUUGACGAUAUCCUCUAUUGAUCAUUGAUACGAAUAUUGUGAAUCAUAAGGAGAUUAUUCUGUCGACAGACAAAAGUGACGACUCUUAUUGAGCCAACAGAUACAACGAUACUUCGAUAUUUCAAGAUUGAAAAAUGUCGUAAUAGCCAUAUAUUUUACUUGUUGAAUAAAGGCUGUUUGAACUGUUGGUUGAAGAUUGACCUGUCAGGAUGGUGGGCCGACAGGCUUUUCUUUAAAAAGGGUUUGGUGUUAUCCUUUAUUCAUCACGUGAUAUAAUGAAGUCAUAAGAAGUUUAUGCCGACGGGCAAGAGUGACGACUCUAUUAUAGUCAACGGAUUACUAACAUACUAACCUUGAAAAUCGUCUUACUAGCCAGUGAUUGUACUUGUCGAGUAAGAUUACUGUACUGGAAUGCAUGUGUAAAGUACUGUCCUUAUGAUCUCAUUACGGAUUUAUUGAUUUAUCAAUAUUGACUGAUUAAUUGAUAUGGAAUUGAUUUAUGGAUUUUGAAUGGAUUUAAUGAUAUUGAAUUGUUUUAUUGAUACUGAAUGGCUUUACUGUACGGAUUUAUGAGUUUCCUGUUAUUGCACGACUUCAUUGAUAUUUCAUACAGUACAUGUUACCGAAUAUAGAUACUGAAAUGGAUAUUGAUAUUGCAUCGAUUCAUUGAUUCAUUGAUCUUAUGGAUAUCGAUAUUAUUGAUUCAUUGAUACUAUAGACAUUGAUACCAUUGAUUCAUUGAUAUACCGAUACCGAUACCGAUACUGAUACUGAUACUAUUGAUCCACUGAUAUAUUGAUUCAUUGUAUUGUUCUUAUAGCACAUGAUACAUCGAAUACUGACCGAUACGUGUGAUACAUGUGAUACACUGACCACGUGAUAUAGAAUAUGAUUUUUAUUGUAUUGAUUGAUUUUAAUGAUUAUUAUUGAUUUAUUGAUUUGAUUUCAACCGUCCUUACAAUGUAUUGAAUUGAUCGUUUUAUAUGAUUUCAUAUCGACUGAUAUUAUUGACAGAAAUUGAUUUCUUUAUUUAAUGACCUGAUUAUUUUAUUGCUGUGAGUAAUGCGAUAUUAAUUUGACGGAUAUUUUUGAUACAAUAUUUUCUUUACUAAAUUGUGAUUUAUCUUUACUGUAUGGAUUUACUUUUACUACAUGAUUUCACUAUUAUUGCAUAAUCGUUCAUGUCGUUACAGGAUUGUUGCUGAUAUUGAUACAUACGCUGCUACUACUGAUUCACUGUACUGACAUUAUAUACGUGAUAUAGAUUACUGGAUUGCAUAUGAUUUAUUGAGCAAGUGAUAUUGAAUAACUGGAAUUGCAAGUAUAUGUUUUGAUACAAUUCUACUACAUUGCUUUGACUGAUGUUAUAGAUAAGACGACUAAUAUAGAGAUUUGACUCACGUACUGGUUCAUUGAGCUUUAUGCGAUUUUCUACUGUUCACUGAUAGAUCAUUGAGCUUUAUGCGAUUUUCUACUGUUCACUAAUUCUAUCAUUGAUGAUUUUGGAUUCUAUUGUUUAUGCAUUGAUUUUUGUUUUUGUACUGAUUUCCGUAUUUGCAUCGAUUUAAUGAUCAUGUGUAAGGGACUGAUAUUGAUUUGAUUGAUUUAUGCAUAAUGCUUCUAUACCAUGCUUUGAUUUCAGUUGUAGGUUUUUGGUGACCUGCUGAGCUUUUUGAAGCUCAUUAUAUAUGGUUAAUGAUUUCAAGUGCAGAGCCCCCCGCGUGAAGCUUCUUUCAGACGCUUGUAUAGUUUUUCGUAGUUUUUGGUUCAUGCAAUAUUUUGUAGCCUGAGUGGCUAUUGUACAUGUUCUUUUGGACGCUCAUUUUGUAUUGUAAAUAUGAAAUGCCUUAAUGUGAAUUAUAGUAUUUUGAUGUAUCUGUUUUCUUUAAUGCAAUUAUCAUUCUGGAUGUUUGUAUGAUCUGAGCGAGAAAUGUAGAAAGAUAAAAAAAGAUCGAAUAAGAAGAAGAAUGUCUAACGAAUCCUUUCAUUAUAGAUGUAUGGGACGUCACACUCUCUCUCUCUCUCUCUCCCCCCUUCUUCUUAUUAUUCUUCUUCUACUCUCUCUCACUCUCUCUCUCUCUCUUGCUCUCUCAUCUCUCUUUGUCUCUAUCUCUCUCUCUCC